UUGAGUUUCCUGCACCUUUGCACGAAUUGCAAGUGCACCUUUAUAUGAAACAUGACGAGUAUAACAGAAUCAUGGUGAAGCUAAUGCACCAUACAAACAUCAUGCACCACCAUGAUGUUCACAGAGUCAUCUAGGCAACAUCUCACGCACCAUCUUUGAAUCAAAUAUGUGUCUAAUUGCGAAAUUAUGCAACAUCGUUAAAUUUCAUUCAUUACUAAAGCUUUUAAUGCGUAAUCGUGGCGUUCACUAUAUCAUCUAAGCAUCUAUUGCACCAUUAUUAUUGUAUGAAGUUUCGUACAUCGAAAUAUCAUUUCUUGUACGAUGUCAACUCUAAUGCAUCAUACUGACUGUUGGUUACGCCCCAUCGGAAACAACCUCAACGGAGCUGGCCGCCGGUCUAUGAUACCGAUCUUUAUCUUAACCACACCCGUCACCGUGUAGGGGAUUGUCCCGCUGUGAUAGAAGAAUAGACAGAUACAUGACAGACAGACGAUAUGAAUAAGCGAUAAGAACAAAAGUGAAUUGAAAAAAGUUCUAAGCUAGCAUUCCUAAUAUUAAAAGUUGAAAUUUUGUUAUUCUAUUUCCUUAAAACUAUUAUUCUUAUGUGAUUAUUAUUCACUAAUCUUAAUUGCUAUUUACUAGUUAAAAAAAAAAUAAGGUGAGAAUCUAACGUUAAACAGUGUAAACCGUGAAUUACCAGAAUGCCUAAUUUAUGUGUGUGUUCUUUAACUAUUAGGAAACAGAUUAAGGACUACGUAAUUCUUGCCUUCUGCAAGGGACCCACGGCUUGAAGAAAGGGUGAGCGAAGCAUAGUUACAACUAAAGCAUAAUCCUAAAUAACAAACAAACAUUUAAACAGGUUCCUACGUCUAAACAAAAACUGCAUCCAAAUUCUGCUGCAUGGGUACCGUGCUUAGGUGAGGCUUCAUACCCAAAUCAAAAUUGGAACUGAUAUUAAAAAAAAAACUUAAUCCUAUAGGUUGUUAAAGCUACGAGUGGAAAUCCUCAAGGAAUUUGUAGACUAUACACAGCAAAGAAUCACUAAAAGUAAGCCUUAUAUGACGAACACACAAUCUAAGUCUAAUUAACUAUAUUCCUUAGGAAUUUUAUAACCUUUUGCACCGGUUUAAAUAAACGAUUUGGGCAGAAAGUUCAUGAAAUUAGAUUCACCCAUACUGUGAACAACAUCUUAUAAAAUUCUUUUAUAACGAGAUGUCGAAGAAGUCUAUCAACCCUGGACGGGGAAUUCUCGUGGGGCAGACAACUAGCGAAGUGGUUGAAGGUAACGUUGGCGCCGGAGCAGUAGUAGCGGUCACUCCGGUGGAUGCAGUCUCUUCUGCUAAUGGAAACCAGGUAAAUUCGAGCCCAAACAAUGUUCCGUUGGUAACUGUAACUCGCAGUACCGGGACGAUACCAAAACCACCGAAAGCAAAUAGCAUACCCAAACAGUCAAAGUCAAUUCCCGCCGCGGUCGACCCGAAACGAAAUCCGGUUCGCGAAGUUAGACGGAAACAUGAUUUCCACUGUCAGUUGUGUAGUGAGCGUGAUAACGAUCGUAUGGUGCAGUGUGAUGGUGAUGGUUGCAUGCAGUGGUUCCACUACGAAUGUGUGGAAGUUACGAAUGGUGUAGCAAACGUGACCUGGAUCUGUCCAAUAUGCAGUACCGCAAAAGAUCCAACAUCAGCAGCGAUAAAUCCCCCCACCGGCACAACCGCUGGUCAGAACGAGCUAAUCGAGCAACGGAAAAACCAAUUAGAGACGUCAAGAGGAACCAACACCGAACGAUCGACUAGUAAGGCAAGCACAGUUAAGAGCGAAAUAAGGAGGAUGAGGGAGCUGGAAUUGCAAAGGCUGAAGGAAGAGUUGGAGCUGGAGAAAAAGUUUCUGGAGAAAAGGUAUAUGAUUCUGAAGGACUACGGUAGCGACUCAUCGUCGGUCGCGAGUGAGAUGGAGAACAUGUCGAAGAUCCAGGAAUGGGUAGCAGAAACCGAGCGCCAAGGUGAGGAGAACGAUUCCGGUUUAGUAGAAGAGGAGAUGAACGGACGGCCUGUAUCGACCAACUCGAAGCAGCCGCAGGAGUACCAAACUCCGGAUCUCGCUCAAGACAACAACCAAUCAUCGAUUCGUCCAGAUCAUCCAGGCCGGCUGUCGUGGCGUACAAACACGCACUGCCCGAACUUCCUCGAAAAUCAACCAUCAAACUUCCCAUCGUUGCAUCCCGGUACCUUUGUUCCAGGACAGCGUUCCACUUCAAUAUCGAGACCGCUUCCUGGUGUUCCGGCAGUGAAUAUGAACGAUGAGACGGUGUGCAUCUUGAAUAGGAGCCAACUCGCCGCUCGCCAGGCAGUCUCCAAGGAUCUGCCAGAAUUCAGUGGGAAUCCGGAGGAUUGGCCGCUUUUCUUUUCCGUGAUGAACUCUUCAACCCAAAUGUGUGGGUUCUCUAAUGAAGAGAAUAUGUUACGUCUACGAAAAUGCCUGAAGGGAAAGGCAUUAGAGGCCGUGCGAUGUCGUCUGCUUCAUCCAUCGAAUGUAGCCGGGGUAAUGACGACCCUUAAGAUGCUGUACGGAAGACCGGAGGCCAUCAUACAAGCGAUAAUCCGGAAGGUUCGAUCACUACCUCCACCGAACAUGGAAAAGUUGGAGACAGUUGUGAAUUUCGCGCUGACAGUGGAGAACCUCGUCGCAACGAUACAGGCAUGCGAGGUCAGCGACUUCGUAUAUAACGCAUCUCUAAGGUACGAGCUGGUAGAGAGGCUGCCAUCAUCCCUCAAAAUGGACUGGGCCAGAUUUUCUCGUGGUAAACUGCAUCCAACACUCAUCGAUUUCAGUGCGUGGUUGUACACGACGGCGGAAGAUGCCAGUGCCGUUAUGGUCAGUAGCAGUGGCAGCGAACAGCGAACUCGGCAAGGCAAAAAGGAUGGCUAUCUGAAUUUUCAUUCAGAAUCGGAAACGGCGGGCACAAAAUCGACCGAAUCGUCUACUAGGAUGAGAUCUUCCGGAACUGUGACCAAAGAACAGUGUGUAGUGUGCAAAGGAGGUUGCUCUUCUGUCGCAAAAUGCAAAAGAUUCGAGGAGUUUAGCUACGAUUCCAAGUGGGCAGCAGUAAAGGAAUGCAAGUUGUGCCGGAAAUGCCUGCGCAAGCAUAAUGGAUCAUGCAAGCAGUCAAAACCGUGUGGAACAAACGGGUGUGAGUUCCUUCAUCACCCUCUACUCCACAACACACAAAAGCACGGAGCGCCGAAACCAACAGCAUCGGUACAGGCAACUCCCAAUAGCGCACAACCAGAGACAAGUCGGACGGAUCGCAGUUGCAACGUUCAUCAAGUUCAAUCAGAGGUCCUGUUCAGAAUUGUCCCUGUUCUGUUAUACGGACCAACGAAGACGAUACGCACCUACGCGUUCAUAGAUGAUGGAUCUGAGCUUACGUUGAUCGAGCAAGGCCUGUGUGAUGAGCUGGGAGUACAAGGUCCAACGAAAUCACUGUGUUUGAAGUGGACCGGCGAUACGCAGAAAGUAGAGGAGGAGUCUCAGGUAGUCGACCUGAAAGUAUCCGGCGUACACACCUCGAAGAAGUACCAGCUGUCAAAUAUCUCCACGAUAUCUACUCUAAAGAUUCGCCCACAAACUCUACUACUAACAGAGAUACAGAAGAAGUACCCGUAUUUGGCAAACUUGCCACUCGAGUCGUACCAAAACGUCAGUCCUCGAAUUCUUAUCGGUCUGGAUCAUGCUAGACUUGGUCACACCAUCACAAGCCGUGAAGGUAAAGACAGCGAGCCCAUUGCGGUUCAAACGCGACUAGGCUGGAUGGUCUUCGGAAAUUGCACCGGCAAGGAAAAGACUGAGCGAUAUGUGAACUACCACAGCGUGCAAACCUGCGAGUGCAAUCGGGAUGUAAGCGAAGAUCUGUAUAAAAUGGUGAAAUCUUAUUUUUCUCUGGAUAGCCUUGGAGUCUCAAAACCGGAUAAGUUGCUGGUCUCCCAUCAAGACCAACGAGCACAAAUGCUGUUGGAAACACUCACUCGUCGUACCGAUAAGAGAUACGAGUCGGGGCUCCUUUGGAAAUACGAUGAAGUCCGACUACCGGACAGUGAACCAAUGGCACGGAGACGUUGGAAAUGCUUGGAUAACCGUCUGAGAAAAGAUCCUACAUUAUCUGAGGCAAUAAGGGAAAAAAUCAAUGACCAUGUCAGCAAGGGCUACAUAAGAAGGCUGUCCGAUGACGAGCUGAAGAAACCACAAUCUCGCGUAUGGUAUCUUCCGAUAUUUCCUGUUGUCAACCCGAAUAAACCGGGCAAAAUUAGAAUUGUAUGGGAUGCUGCAGCCACGGUCCACGGAGUGUCUCUCAAUAGUUUCCUGCUGAAAGGACCAGACCAGCUGACGUCCCUUCUUUCCGUUCUGGUGCAGUUUCGGGAGUUUCGAGUAGCCGUUAGUGGUGACAUCCGUGAAAUGUUUCACCAGGUGAAGAUGCGGGAGGAAGACCAGCACUGCCUACGUUUCUUCUGGACAGACGACGAUCAAGCCACGGAACCAAGCGUCUUCGUAUCACAGGUGAUGACGUUUGGUGCUUGCUGUUCGCCGAGUACCGCACAAUAUGUAAAGAACAGCAACGCACAGCGUUUCGAACAGGAACAUCCUCAAGCCGUCGUUGCUAUCGUUAAACGGCAUUACGUCGAUGACAUGCUCGUCAGCGUGGAAACGGAGAAGGAAGCAAUUCAGCUGGUUCAAGACGUGAAAGGAAUACAUGCAUCGGCGGGUUUCGAAAUGCGGAACUGGAUAUCGAACUCGGGCAGCGUCUUAGCAGCAAUCAAUGAAGAGUCCCCGACGGAGAAGAACCUCGACAUCGGCGAAGAAGGUGCCACUGAAAAAAUCCUUGGUAUGUGGUGGGACACUUCGAAGGACUGCUUCACCUACAAGAUCUCUACCCGCUAUGAUGAAGAACUGAUCUCUGGAAACCGUCGGCCUACGAAAAGGGAAGUCCUACGCACACUAAUGAUGGUAUUCGAUCCACUGGGACUAAUUGCGCACGUUUUGAUGUUCCUGAAAGUGCUAUUACAGGAGAUAUGGCGGACGCCUGUUGGAUGGGACGAUCCAAUUGAGGAUUCACAAUACGAGAAGUGGCUGUCUUGGCUGGAAAUCUUCCCACAGAUUGCAAAGGUAAACAUUCCACGCUGCUAUCGAGUGCUGACAUCAGCGGAAGAGGAAACCGUUGUUCAAAUGCAUACCUUCGUCGAUGCAAGCGAAAAUGGGUUUGCUGCAACGGUGUACCUGCGAUUCGAGAAUGCCGGCACUGUUGAGUGUUCACUAGUCGGUGCAAAAACGAGAGUUUCGCCGCUCAAAUUCCUGUCGAUCCCGCGUUCAGAACUGCAAGCAGCAGUCAUUGGUGUGCGAUUCGCUGAUAUGAUCUUAAAAUCACUCUCGAUUAACGUCAGUCAGCGAACGUUCUGGACAGACUCCAGAGAUGUACUCUGUUGGAUUCGUUCAGAUCACAGACGAUAUAGUCAGUUUGUUGCAUUCCGAAUUAGUGAAAUCCUAGAAACGACGGAUGUCAAUGAGUGGCGCUGGGUACCCACAAAACAUAAUGUUGCUGACGAAGGCACAAAAUGGAAGCGAGUCCCCAACUUGUCCAGCGACAGCCGGUGGUUCCAUGGACCGGAGUUCCUUCUCCUCAAGAAAGAAGAAUGGCCGGUGAAUCCGUUCCCUGAGAAGACUACGCAGGAAGAACUUCGAGCGCAUCUGCUUCUCCAUAUCCAAUCUGCAGAGCCGGCAAUACGCCCACAGGAUUUCUCGAAGUGGACCGACUUGCUACGAGUAACGGCCUACGUGUUGCGUUACAUUAACAACUUGAAGCGUAGCUGCUAUGGAAAAUCCUCAAUUCCUGGACCGCUGAAAAGGUACGACUUCAUCGACGCAGAAAACUACCUAUUCCGUCGAGCUCAAUCAAGCGCUUUCGUGGAGGAAAUAGCCAUUCUAACUAAAAAUCGUUCAUCGUCGGAUUCAGUGAAGCUUCUUCCUAGAUCAAGUCUACUAUACCAGUGGUCCGCUUUCCUAGAUGAGAACGAUGUGCUACGCGUCAAAGGCCGCACGAAGGCAUGUGCGUUCAUUGAUCGAGAUGCUGCCGAACCGGUAAUUCUUCCCCGAGAUCAUCAUGUAACUCGCCUUAUCAUUUCCGCAGUGCACGAGCGGUUCAACCACCAGAACCACGAGACGGUGGUAAACGAGAUACUCCAACGCUACCGUGUUCCUCGCCUGAAAGCAACGUACCGACAAAUCCUGAAAGAAUGUCAACAGUGCAAAAUACUCCUCGCCAGCCCCAAGCCCCCUGCUAUGGCUGAUCUCCCGAAAGCUCGACUGUCCGCCUUUUCUCGUCCCUGCACUCACAUGGGAGUAGACUACUUCGGUCCGAUACUGAUCUCCGUUGGGAGACGUACCGAAAAGAGGUGGGGGGUACUCGCCACUUGCCUAACCACUCGCGCCAUCCACCUACAGAUCGCUCACACUCUGACCACUGACUCCUGCGUAAUGGCCAUUCGGAACAUCAUGGCCAGAAGAGGUAUCCCUGCAGCGAUCUACAGCGACCGUGGAACCAAUUUCCGUGCCGCAAAUAAGGAGCUACAGAACGCAUUAGAAGAACUGGAUCACAUGGCUCUGAUCAAGGAGUUUACAACUAGUCGCACUGAAUGGGUUUUCAACCCUCUCCUCUCGCCUCACAUGGGAGGAGCAUGGGAGAGGUUGAUUCGAAGCGUAAAACUAAAUCUCGAGCGACUGCAGACGAGUAAACUACCAACCCACGAGGUUCUGGAAAACGCGUUGGUAGAGGUCGAGAAUAUCGUCAACUCGCGUCCUCUAACAAACAUUCCUAUUGAGGAUGACGAUUCACCGGUGUUAACCCCCAACCAUUUCUUGUUGGGAUCCGCUAACGGCUUACGAUCGUGGGUUCCCCUGGACGACAACCCAGUCCUGCUCAGAAAUAGUUGGAAGCAGUCACAGAUGUUAGCAGAUACUUUCUGGAAGCAUUGGGUUCGGAGCUAUUUGCCUAAGAUUACUCGAAGGACUAAAUGGUUCACUUCAACGAAACCGAUCACUGUGGGAGAUGUAGUAGUCAUCGUCGAUUCGAAGCUGCCUCGUAAUUGCUGGCCAAAAGGCCGCGUUAUUGCCACGUGUCCGGCCACGGAUGGCCAAGUGAGAUGGGCUACUGUGCAGACCGCAUCGGGUGGCAUCUACGAGCGACCAGCGGUAUCGUUAGCUGUACUCGACGUAGGCGUUAGGACGAAUACGCUUCAGGAGCAGUCUUUGCGUAUUCCGGGGGGGAGUGUUGGUUACGCCCCAUCGGAAACAACCUCAACGGAGCUGGCCGCCGGUCUAUGAUACCGAUCUUUAUCUUAACCACACCCGUCACCGUGUAGGGGAUUGUCCCGCUGUGAUAGAAGAAUAGACAGAUACAUGACAGACAGACGAUAUGAAUAAGCGAUAAGAACAAAAGUGAAUUGAAAAAAGUUCUAAGCUAGCAUUCCUAAUAUUAAAAGUUGAAAUUUUGUUAUUCUAUUUCCUUAAAACUAUUAAUCUUAUGUGAUUAUUAUUCACUAAUCUUAAUUGCUAUUUACUAGUUAAAAAAAAAAUAAGGUGAGAAUCUAACGUUAAACAGUGUAAACCGUGAAUUACCAGAAUGCCUAAUUUAUGUGUGUGUUCUUCAACUAUUAGGAAACAGAUUAAGGACUACGUAAUUCUUGCCUUCUGCAAGGGACCCACGGCUUGAAGAAAGGGUGAGCGACAUAGGCGAAACUACCGGGGGUGCCGGGGGUGCCAGGCACCCCCUAGAAUUUUGAUGCAUUGCUGUGAGAUAUGGGGCGAUGAAUGAGGAAUGGAUGAACUCAUGAAUAUUUGUUUGUAGUGCACCCCCUGGCACAAAUCCGUAGUUUCGCCCAUGGUGAGCGAAGCAUAGUUACAACCAAAGCAUAAUCCUAAAUAACAAACAAACAUUUAAACAGGUUCCUACGUCUAAACAAAAACUGCAUCCAAAUUCUGCUGCAUGGGUACCGUGCUUAGGUUGUUAAAGCUACGAGUGGAAAUCCUCAAGGAAUUUGUAGACUAUACACAGCAAAGAAUCACUAAAAGUAAGCCUUAUAUGACGAACACACAAUCUAAGUCUAAUUAACUAUAUUCCUUAGGAAUUUUAUAACCUUUUGCACCGGUUUAAAUAAACGAUUUGGGCAGAAAGUUCAUGAAAUUAGAUUCACCCAUACUGUGAACAACACUGACAUCAAGCACCAUCUUUGAAUGACAUGCUCCAUAUUAGCAUUCAAUGCACCAUACCAAUGAACUCAGUGUUAUCAGAAGAUCCUAUACACCACGGUGACAUUAUGCACCUUUAUUGCCUCACGCAAUUUGAUUUUUAUGCAGCACCAACAUUUUUAUGUUUACACCAUCUCCAAAUCUCAUGUUUUACCUUAGCAUUCUAUAAAUCAAAAUGCAAUUACUUGCCACGCAUGCAUACUCACAUCACAAACCUCAUUAAAAUUCUAUACACCUUCUUGGUGUUCAUUGUAUCAUCCACAAUUGAAUUUUAUAUACCAUUUUGUGAUUCGCGCAUCAAAAUAGCAUUCCGUGGAUCAUUUUGAGAAUCACUUUACCAGCUCGAGAAAUAUCUGGAGUAAUCCGUGGAGGCAUUCUAGGAGAAAUCCCUGGAGAAAUUUCAGGGGGAAUCCUUGAAGGACUUUCUAGAGGAAUCCCAGAAGGCAUUACUAAAGAAGUGCUUGAAAGAAUUCUUGAAAGAAGCUCUUAAAAACUGGAAGAGGAGUCUAGAAAUUCCUGUAGAAUUUGCAGGAGGAACUACUAAAGGAAUUGCUGGAAACAUUAUUGAAGGAAUUCCCUAGAGGCAUUCUUAAAGGAAUCCUUGAAGAAUUUGCUGGGGGAAUCCGUAGAGGAAUUCGUGAAAGAAUUCAUAGAGGAAUUUGUGGAGAAAUAUUUCGAAAAACUCCUGGAUAAAUUUCUUGAAAAGUUCCAGCAGGGGUCAUUGACGAACCCCUGGAGAAUUUCGUGGAGUAAACUCCGGAGGCAUUCCUGGAAGAAACCCUGGAGGAAUUCCUGGAAGAAUUUCUGGAGGAAUCUCUGAAGGCAUUCCUGGAGGAAUCCUUGGAAGAAUGCCUGGAGGUUUCCUUGUAAGAAUUCCUGGUGGAACUUCUGGAAGAAUGUCCGGAGGAAUUUCUGCAGGAAUCCCUGAGGAAAUUUCUGGAGGGACAUUUGGAGGAGUUUCUAGAAGAAUUCCUGGAAGAAGCUAUGAGAAAUUCCUGGAGAAAUCCCUGAUGUAAUCCCUGGAGGAAUUCCUGAAGGACUCCGAGAAGGAAUUACAUGAUGAAACACUGGAGGGGUAACAGAAGGAAUCCAUGAAAUAAUUCAUGGAGAAAUUCCAGGAAAAAUUGCUGGAGGAAUUCCUGAAGAAUUUUUUGGAAAAUUCCUGCAUGAAUUUGUUGAAGAAUUACUCGAGAAAUUCUAUGACGAACCCUUGCAGAAAUUACUGGAGAAAUCUCUGGAGGAAUUUGUGGAGCAAUUUCUGGAGGAAUUCCUGAAGGAAUUUUUGGAAGAAUCCGUGAAAAAAAUCUUGGAGGAAUUUCUGGAGGCAUUCUUUCGAGAAUUAUUGGAAGAAUUUCUGGAGGAUUUUCAGGAGGAAUACUUGGCUGAAUCCCUGGAGACAUUCAUAGAAGAAAUCCUAGAGAAAGCUUUGGAAAAUUCCUGGAGAAAUCCCUGUUGAAAUCCUAGGAGGAAUUCCUGAAGGAAUUCAAGGAUGAAUCCCUGCAGAAUUACUAGAGAAACUUCUGGAAGAAUCCCUAGAGGUUUUUAUUGAGAAAUUCCUAAAAAAAAUGUAGGAAUUCCUGGAAGAAUUUCUGGAGGAUUCCCUGAAGGAAUUCUAUGAAAAAAAUCUGGAAAAAUAUUUGCGGCUUCCUGGAAUGAUUAAACGAACUCCUCGAGCAAAAGAAUUCCUAGAGGGAUUUUUGAGGAAUUCCUGAAGAAAUUCUUGAAGAAAUUCCUGGCGAAAUCCAUGGAGGAAUACCUGAAGAAAUUUUUCGAGGAAUUCCUGGAACAGUUCCAGGAGAGGUUUUUUUUCUGGAGAAAUUCAUGGAUUAAUUCUAGAGGAAUUCUUGGAGGAAUCCAUGAAGAAUUUUUUAGAUGAUUUUCUGGAGCAAUUAAUAGAGAAAUUUUUAUAGUUGUUCCAGGAGAAAUUUCUGGAGAUUCCUUAAAAAAUUCCAGAAAAAAAUACUGAAAAAAUGUCUGUAGAAAUCGCUGGAGAAAUUUCUCGAGGAAUUCUUGGAAGAGUUCCGGAAAAAUUUCUUCAGAAUUUUCUGGAGAAAUCCGAGCAGGAAUUCCUUUAGGAGUCGUUGCAGAAAUUCCUGGAGGAAUCUCUGUAGAAAUUCCCGGAGGUAUUCAAGAUGGAAUUAACGAAGGAAUUUUUGAAGGUAUAGUGGAGGAGUUCCUGGUGCGAUUUCCGAAAGAAUUCUUUGAGGUAUUUUUGAGAAACAUUCCUGGAGAAAUUCCUGGAAGAUUUUCUUGAGGAAUCUUUAGAGAAAUUCCUGGAGGAAUCCAUGUCCGGGAGGUAUUUCUGGAUAAAUUCCUGAAGAAUUUUUUGGUGGAAUAACUGGAAAAAUUCCUGGAUUAAUUCUUUAAGGAAUUUCUGGACCUUAAAUUCUGGAGGAAUGUCUAGAGGAACUCCUCGAGGAAUUUGUGAAGGAUUUUGUUUUGAGUAAUUUAUGAAGAAACUCAUGGAUGAAUUCCCGAAGAAAUUCCUGGAGGAAUCCAUGGAGAAAUCCCUAAAGAAAUUCCUAGAGAAAUACCCAGAAAAGAUCUGGAAAAAAUCCCUGCUGUUAUCCUAGGAGGGAUUCCUGAAGGAAUCUGUGAAGGAAUUCAAGGAUGAAUCCUUGGAAGAAUCCUUAAAGAUUUUUCUGGCGAAAUUCCUGGAAAAAUGAAGGAAUUCCUGGAUAAAAUUCUGCAGGAUUUCCUGAAGGAAUUCUUUGAAAAAUUUGUGAAAAAACAUUUGCGGCUUCCUGGAGGAAUGAUUUAAGGAACUCCUCGAGCCAUUUCUGAAAGAUUUCCUAGAGGGAUUUUUGAGGAAUAUCUGAAAAAAAACAUUGAUGGAAUUCCUGGCGAAAUCCAUGGAGGAAUCCCUGGAGAAAUUUUUCGAGGAAUUCCUUGAGGAAUUCCUGGAACAGUUCCGGGAGAAGUUUUUUCUGGGGAAAUCCGUGGAUAAAUACCUAGAGGAAUUCUUGGGGGUAUCCAUGAAGAUUUUUUUUAGGAUUUUCCGGAGCUAAAACUAGGGAAAUUUUUAAAGUUGUCCCAGGAGAAAUUUCUGGAGAGAUUCUUUGAAAAUUUCCAGAAAAGAAAAUUCUGUAGAAAUCCCUGGAAAAAAUUCUCGAGGAAUUUCUGGAAGAGUUCCGGGAGAAAUUUCUUCAGGAUUUUCUGGAGAAAUUCGAGAAGGAAUUCCUUAAGGUAUCCUUGCAGAAAUUCCUGGAGGAAUCCCUGUAGAAAUUCAAGAUGAAAUUAGUGAAGAAAUUUUUGAAGGUAUGCAUGGAGGAAUUCCUGGAGGAAUUCCUGAAAGAAUUCUUUGAGGUAUUUUUUGCGAAACAUUCCUGGAGGAAUUCCUGGAGAAAUUCCUGGAUGAUUUUCUUCAGGAAUCUCUGGAGAAAUUUCUGGAAGAAUCCAUGUUUGCAUUCCGGGAGGUAUUUCUGGAUAAAUUCCUCCAGAAUUUUUUGGAGGAAUUCAUUUACGAUUUCUUAGAGGAAUAACUAGAGAAAUUCCUGGAUGAAUUCUUUACGGCAUUCCUGGACAAAUAAUUAAAGCUUCCUGGAGGAAUGUCUGGAGGAACUCCUCGAGGAAUUAUUAAAGGAUUUUUUUAAGCAAUUUCUGAAGAAACUCAUGGAUGAAUUCCCGAAGAAAUUUCGGAGGAAUCCAUGGAGAAAUCUCUGGAUAAACUCCUAGAGAAAUUCCCGGAAAAGAUCCGGGAAAAAUUCUUUUAGGAUUUUCUGGAGGAAUUAGUCGAGGAAUUUCUGGAAGAAUCCCUGGAGACAAUAUUGGAGGAAUUCUGGCAGAAAUUCUUAGAGAUUUUUCUGUAGGAAUCCCGGCAGCAAUCCCUGGAGGUAUUUCAUGGGGAUUCCAUGGAAGUAUCCCUGGAGGUAUUCCUAGAAGACUUCUGGGAGAAAUUGAUUGAGGAUUAUGUGGAGGAUUCCGUGAAGGAUUUCCUGGAAAAUGCCUUGAGGGGAUGAACCAGUCUCGGGCUGAAUUUCCCCAUAAUAAAAAGUCAAUAAUAAUAAAUGCCUUGAGAAAUUUGUGGUGGAAUCCAUGGAGGGAGGAAUUUCUGAAGGAAUUCCGGAAAAAAAUCCUGGAGAAAUUCCUGGAGGAAUCCAUGGGGGUAUCCCACAAAAUUCUUGGUAGGGUUCCGGGAGACAUUCCUUUUAGAUUGUGUGGAGGAAUUCUGACAGAAAUUCCUAGAGGAUUUUCUGGAGUAAUUCCUGGAGGUAUUUCUGGAUGAAUUUUUGAAGAAAUUCAUGAAUAAAUCGUUGAAGGAAUGAAACCCUGAAGAAGUCCUUGAGAAUUUCCUGUAGAAUUUCCUAGAGGAAUCCAUGGAUGAAUUGCUCGAGAAAUUCCGGGAGGAAAUCCUGGAAGAGUUCCGGUAGAAAUUCCUUUAGGAUUUUCUGGAGGAAUCUAUAGAGCAAUUCCUUGAAGAAUCCCUGGAGGAAAUAUUUAAGAAAUUCUGGCAGACAUUCCUGGAGAAAUCAUUUGGGGAAACUCCUAGAAAAAAUUCUGGAGGAAUGUAAUGAGAAAUCCCUGUAGUUUUGGUGAAAAUUCCCAGAGGAUUUUUAAGAGGAAUCCCUGGAGGAGUUCCUGGUAGUAUUUCUGGCGCUCUUCCCUUAGAAAUUUCUGAAAGAAUUCCCGGAGGAUUUAUUGCGGAAUUUCUAAAGAAAUUCAUGGAUGAAUCCUCGGAGGAAUCCCUGAAGAAAUGCCUCGAGAAUUUCCUGGAAGAAUCCAUGGGGAAUUUUUCAAAGAAUUCUAGGAGGAAUUCCUGAAAGAGUUCCGUUAAAAAAUCAUCUAGGAUUAUCUGGAGGAAUGCGAGGAUCAAUUCUUAGAGAAAUCCCUAGAAGAAAUAUUGUAGGAAUUCUGACAGUCAUUCCUAAAAGAAAAUUUUAGGAGGAAUCUCUGGAGGAAUUAUUGGAGUAUUUACCAGAGGAAUUAUUUGAGGAAUUUCUGGUGAAAUAUAUGAGGCUUCCUGGAAAAUUAAUGGAGGAAUGUCUGAAGGAACUUCUCGAGGAAUUUCUGAAGGAAUAUCUGGAGAAAUUUCUGAAGACAUUUAUUAUUACAUCCCCGUAGGAAUUCCUGAAGAAAUUUCAGGAAAAAAAAUCAUGGAGAAAUUCCUAGGGGAUUCUGUGGAGGAUUCCCUGGUGGAAUUUCUGGCGGAAUCAUUCGAGGAACUCCUGGAGGAAUUCCUGGAAGAGUUUCGGGUGAAAUUACUUUAGGAUUUUCUGUUGGAGUUCAUGGAUGAAUUUCGGGGAGAAAUCCCUGGAGGCAUCUCGGAGGAAUUUCUGGAGGAAUGUCUGAAGGAACUACUCGAGCAAAUUGUGAAGGAAUACCUGGAGGAUUUUUUUGAAGAAUUUCUGAAGAAAUUUAUGAAUGAAUUCCUACAGGAAUUCUUGGAUAAAUUGCUGGAAAAAAUCCUGAAGAAAUACCUGAAGGAAUCCGUGGAGGAUUUCCUGGACAAAUUUCUUGCGGAGUUUCUCGAGAAAUUCUUGGAAGGGUUCCGGGAGACAUUCUUGGGGAACUCAGGCAGAAAUUCCUAGAGGAAUUGCUGGAGGAAUUUUAGGAAUUUCUGGAGGAUUUUUAGUGGAAUUUCUGAAGAAAUCAAUGGAGAGAUCCCUGGAGGAAUUCCUGAUGAAAUUGUUUGAGAAUUUCCUGGAGGAAUCCAUGGAAGAAUUCUUAGAGAAAUUUCUUGAGGAAUACCUGGAAGAAUUCCGUGAGAAAUUCCUUUAGCAUUUUAUGGAGGCAUCCGUGGAGGAAAUAUUGGGGGAAUUCUGACAGACAGACAUUCAGGAUUUUUCCUAGAAAAUGGCAGGAGGGAUCUCUGGAGGAAUUUUAGGAGUAUUUACUGGAGGAAUUCCUGGAGGAUUUAUUUGAGGAAUUUCUGGAGAAAUAUAUGAGUCUUCCUGGAGAAAUGUCUGAAAGAACUCCUCCAGGAAUUUCUGAAGGUAUUCCUGAAGGAAUUUCUGGAAGAAGUUUCUGAGGAAUUUCUGAAGAAAUUCAGUAAUGAAUCCCUGGAGAAAUUCCUGAAGAAAUUUCUGGAAAAAAUCCUAAAGAAAUUCCUGGAGGAUUCCCUGUAGGUAUACCUGGAAGAGUUCUGGAAGAAAUUCCUUCAGGAUUUUCUGCAGGAUACCGUGGAGGAAUUCCUGAAAGAAAUCACUAGUUGCAUAUUGGAGGAAUUUCUAAAGAAAUGUCUGAAGGAACCCCUCGAGGAAUUUCUAAAGUAAUAUCUGGAGGAAUUUCUGAAGAAAUUCAUUAUUGAAUCCCUGGAGGAAUUCCUGAAAAAAAAUCCUGGAGAAAUUACUGGAGGAAUCUGUGGAGGAGUUCCUGUAGAGAUUCCUCGCAAAAUUUUUGGAAGAGUUCCGGGAGACAUUCUAUUAGGAUUCUCUGGAGAAAUUCUGGCAGAAAUUCCUAGAGGAUUUUCUGGAGAAAUCCCUGGAGGAAUUUCAUGAGGAAUUCUUGGGGGAUUUUUUUGGGAGGAAUUCCUGUAGGAAUUUCUGGCGUUAUUUUUCGAGAAAUUUCUGAAGGAAUUUCUAGAGGAAUUUGUUGAGGAAUUCAAGAAGGAUUUUUUGAAAUAAUUCAUGGAUUCAGGAAUUCCUGAAGAAAAUCGUUGAGAAUUUGCUGGAUAAUUUUCUGAAGGAACUCCUGUAGGAAUUUCUCGAGGAAUUCCAGGAAGAUAUACUGCAGAAAUUCCUUUAGAAUUUUCUGGGGAAUUCCGUGAAGCAAUUCCUAGAGGAAUCCCUGGAGGAAAUAUUGGGGGAAUUCUGGCAGACAUUCCUAGAGGAUUUUUCCUGAAAAAAAUUUCAGGAGGAAUUCCUGGAGGUAAUUUUGGAAGAGUAUUUGCUGGAGGAAUUCUUGGAGGAAUUAUUUGAGGAAUUCCUGGAGAAAUAUUUGAGACAUCCUGGAGGAAUUUCUGAAGGAAUUAUUGGAAGAUUUUUUUGGGGGAAUUCCUGGAGGAAUCAUGCACGAAUCUUUGGAGAAAUCCUCUGUAGAUUGCAACAAGGAUUCCGAUCAAGAUGUUCUAUCUAGGAAUUCUGACAUUCUCCAAUUCUAGCAUCACUAAUUGUCCAGGAUCAAAAUUCUUUCACAACAACAAUAUUUUGUUUUUCUAUAAUUGAUAAUUUUCUCGAUAUUCUCCAUUGUAUUUGAUCUUAUAUAUAUAAAAAUGCAGUGGCAUACGUGGGACCGCGCAUAACUUGCGAACGGAAGGUCCGAUUAUGGUCGUCUUAGUUUUGUUAUAUUAGUUUUCACCGAAGGAUGGUUUAUGAGGCAAAAAACAUGGAAAAAUUUAAAGUUGUUGAAAAUCGAUCUUCCAUACAUUUUGACCGGGGUCUUGGCUAGAAACUUGAAACGUCAAAAAACGCAGUAAGACAAAGUUUGCCGGGUACAGCUAGUACGUUUAUAAAAUUUUAUAAAAGCCGAGAUAAUGCCUUCAUAUUAAAGUUUCGUAAUGCCUUGAAAUUAUCACCAUCCAAAGCCUUCUCCAGAAUCCCAAUAUGAAGUACUUGGCGAUGUUAGCACCACAACAUGUUGAAACCCCUACUUGGGAAUUCAUAUUGGGUGUAACACCAUAAUUCUAUUUUGCACCAUGAUCAUACAUAUAUUGCACCAUUAUUAUGGUGCCCCCCCUAAGCAAGAACCCUGCGCACGCUAGUGUCUACAACACCGCUCCUUCAUAAACGGGCGCAAAACCACCUCAUCUUUUCAUAUCAACAGAUAAAUACAAUCCAAAUGAUACAGUUUGCUUAGCAUACAUAUUAAAUACUGCCGUUAUAAGCAUAGUUGUCCCAUGUUACUUUCUGACGAUUUUGACUUUUUUGCACCAGGCGCUCUAUUAAUACGUAUAUUUUCAUAUAACAUCAAAAAAUAUCAUACUUUGUUCGAAGACUCAAUGAAAAGCAUGCCAAGUCAAAUUGUCCCACUGUUGAAUUUCUACGCAUGUCUGUCCCACAAUUGAAAUUCUACGCAUAACAGUCCCACUAAAAAUGUUUAAGUAAAACCGAUACAUUUAGCAUUUUUAGUAACUUACUUCACCUAAUAGCAUGGCUAUUUCAGUAAUGUAUGAUAUAAACUCUUCUUUUAUGUUGGCAUUACGCUCCAGCUGGAACGCCGGAAUUUCUUCGCAACUUGCAGUUUUAAUCUUAAUUCAAAUUUUGCUGCAAUGCGCGUUGAGCUCAUAAACCAAACAUAAACAUUUUAACUUAAUUAAUAGGCUCAAAUGUCGUGAAGCAUGACGAAGCCGAUCCAAAAUAAUGACAAAGAGGUUGCUGAAUUGAAUGACUGGUGUUUGUAAAAAAUUUCAGAAUUUAAGCAAGCUUGAAAUAUUGUUGGUAAGUGAGUUGAUGAGUUUCACUUUUUUUAUUUCAAUAUGUUAUCCCAAUAAUUUGAUUGAAUUAGUGUGUCGGUAAGUGAGUGGCUUAGUUAUCGCCUAUUUAAAAAAUAAAAAGAACACUUUUGGGUUAAACACAAAUCGAAGACGAACUGCCGGAGGGACUGAACAAGCAAUCAAUAUUUUAAUUGAUGAGAGAUCAACCGAGUAAGUGAAUUGAAGAGUAAGUGAGUGACUUGGUGAGCGAGAUUUUGUAAGUGUGUGGGUUGAUGAGUUAAUGAUUAAAAUGAUAAACGAGUGAUUUGAUAAGUGAGUUGGUUUAUUAAUAAGUUGAUGGGUAAGUGAGUGACUGUUUUGAAUGAAUGUGUUAAUGAGUUAUUGAGUAACUUGAUAAACAAGUGACCUAGACGCUCAGAGACUUGAUGAGUAAGUGAAUUCUUGGGUAAGCUGUUCUUAGUAAGUUGUGUCGUAGAUAAGCGGCUUUCUGUGUAUAUGUAAAGAAAUAAUAGAGACCAAAAGCAUUAUACUCUUAUUAUCGUAUUUGUAUUAAAAGUAAACAUAGUACCGUAACUGCUUGUUUUCGAAUAGGAUGAAUAUAGAACCGUACCAACGGCAUUCUGUGUGAACAAUAAGCCUAAGUUAAAAUUCACGAAUAAAAAAACGGCAUUCUGACCCUUCAUAUUCAAAUAAAGAUACAUGAAGCAUGAAGCCUCUAAUGGCAAAUCACUCCCAAUCUUUGCUGGGGUUCCUAUUCAUAUGACCCAUACAAGCAGAGGAAGGCAUGGUGCAGAAUGUUUUGAAAACUUAAGCUGUUGUAUUUCUAAACAUAUUUUAUUUCAAUGAUAUGUACAUAUUUCUUGGCAUUUAUAAUUAAUACAACAGCUUACUCAAUUGUAUGCUUUGUUGGUCAUUAGGCAAAAUAGGCCAUUAGGCCGAACAUUUCAUUAUGCCGAAAAUUUCAUUAGGCCGAAAAAAUAAAAUUCAUUGGGCCGAAAAGGACGUUAGGGCUGAAUAAUUCAAGUAUAGAACAAGGUCAUUCAUUUAUAAAGAACAAGGUCAUUCAUUUAUAAAGACCUUUUGGGCCUAAAGACCUUUUGGGCCUAAAGACCUUUUGGGCCUAAAGACCUUUUGGGCCUAAAGACCUUUUGGGCCUAAAGACCUUUUGGGCCUAAAGACCUUUUGGGCCUAAAGACCUUUUGGGCCUAAAGACCUUUUGGGCCUAAAGACCUUUUGGGCCUAGAGACCUUUUGGGCCUAAAGACCUUUUGGGCUGUAAGAAUUACUUUCUUGCCCUUACCUGCAUUUGCCCGGCAGGGCGGCUCGGAGCAGGGUACUUCCAAUAAACUUUGGAUUUCGGAUGGGUGAAAUUUGGGAAAAAGAAAUAUUUCAAUUAAAACUUCUAUUCUACUUCUGACCUUAUUUUCUCCUCCUCGCUACGUCACUGGUCACUGGCUCGUCGACACUCGUUGGGGCCCUUUCAGCACGGUGGUGGCGUUCGCUCCCGCACGGGAUAUGCGGAGCUUCCUCGUCCUUCUUCUUCUUCCACUUCUGCUUCUUCACCUUCCUCUUCUUCGGGUUGGGCUAAUUCGCCGCCGAAGCGACGGUCCUUGGCUUUUAGCUAGGGGGAGGAGAUAAACUCCUUUGUCGGACCCCCCCUAGCGACGCUGGUGAUAUUCACCGAACCGACUACUCGCCGUAGUCGAUCCCAGUAGUCACCGCAGUGAGCUACUCCAGUGAAUACGCCCCUUUGUAUUCUACUGGCUUCGUCCUUCUUGGCUUUUAACUGUGGGGGCGAGGUACUCUACUGGCUGAGCCUCCACAGUAAGGACGGUGGGUAUUCGGAGGGAUCUUUGGCGAUUAGCCGCGGGAAGCGAAAGGCUCCUUUACAAUUAGCCUCCCAAUGGCGGCGAUCCUAUACCCUUUUCACUGCACUCGCACAGCACUGUUUUCCGACCGCGGGCCGGCGCGUUCCGGGGAACUUUCUGCAACUAGUCACUCCCGGCGACCUGGGAACAACCUUCCAGGUUUGGUUCACUCCGAUUUCACAAAAACGGUGCGCGCACACUAGCGGAGUAGAAUCACGCGACCGGGCUCUUUCACGGUGCAAAACGAUCUCCUUUUCAAAAUGUCAUCCUCCGUCCAGAAUGUCGCACACCACCUUGCCGCCAUCUCCUACCACCGUGCUCGACUUGUUAUGCAGUUAUGUUGCGCCGCUUUCUUUGCAACGGGAGGAGAAUGGGACCUAACUUCAUUUAAAAACCUAUCUAAAUCUAAACUAUAAUUUACUACCUAACAUAUUAAAAUGGAAAAACCUAACACCAAAUAAAAUCAAACAUGAAAUAAACAAAUUAAAAUAAAUUGUUCAUCACGUCAGUGGUGGUGUAUGUUGCCAAUUCAAAACAAAAACAUUACUCUGAGUAUCAACAACGGACUAUAUACAAACUACUCAGAGUACACGCAGUGACGAAACUAGACAAACUGGGUUAAUUGUAACACGCAGGUUACAGGGCCUAAAGACCUUUUGGGCCUAAAGACCUUUUGGGCCUAAAGACCUUUUGGGCCUAAAGACCUUUUGGGCCUAAAGACCUUUUGGGCCUAAAGACCUUUUGGGCCUAAAGACCUUUUGGGCCUAAAGACCUUUUGGGCCUAAAGACCUUUUGGGCCUAAAGACCUUUUGGGCCUAAAGACCUUUUGGGCCUAAAG
Molecule: RNA transcript, 19308 nt
Organism: Aedes albopictus (Asian tiger mosquito)
Lineage: Eukaryota; Metazoa; Arthropoda; Insecta; Diptera; Culicidae
Exons: 2
Source: RefSeq, a predicted model, not a curated record